UGCGUAGGCGGGCUUGUAAGUCAGUGGUGAAAUACUGCCGCUUAACGGUAGAACUGCCAUUGAUACUGCGAGUCUUGAAUAUGGUUGAGGUAGGCGGAAUGUGUUGUGUAGCGGUGAAAUGCAUAGAUAUGACACAGAACGCCGAUUGCGAAGGCAGCUUACUAAGCCAUUAUUGACGCUGAGGCACGAAAGCGUGGGGAGCGAACAGGAUUAGAUACCCUGGUAGUCC
Molecule: ribosomal RNA, 229 nt
Filed under: uncultured bacterium
Lineage: Bacteria
Description: partial 16S ribosomal RNA
Rfam family: Bacterial small subunit ribosomal RNA
Source: RNAcentral